Molecule: ribosomal RNA, 580 nt
Filed under: Aureobasidium pullulans
Lineage: Eukaryota; Fungi; Ascomycota; Dothideomycetes; Dothideales; Saccotheciaceae
Description: eukaryotic LSU rRNA
Rfam family: 5.8S ribosomal RNA (bases 211-364)
Source: RNAcentral
UCCGUAGGGGUACCUGCGGAAGGAUCAUUAAAGAGUAAGGGUGCUCAGCGCCCGACCUCCAACCCUUUGUUGUUAAAACUACCUUGUUGCUUUGGCGGGACCGCUCGGUCUCGAGCCGCUGGGGAUUCGUCCCAGGCGAGCGCCCGCCAGAGUUAAACCAAACUCUUGUUAUUUAACCGGUCGUCUGAGUUAAAAUUUUGAAUAAAUCAAAACUUUCAACAACGGAUCUCUUGGUUCUCGCAUCGAUGAAGAACGCAGCGAAAUGCGAUAAGUAAUGUGAAUUGCAGAAUUCAGUGAAUCAUCGAAUCUUUGAACGCACAUUGCGCCCCUUGGUAUUCCGAGGGGCAUGCCUGUUCGAGCGUCAUUACACCACUCAAGCUAUGCUUGGUAUUGGGCGUCGUCCUUAGUUGGGCGCGCCUUAAAGACCUCGGCGAGGCCACUCCGGCUUUAGGCGUAGUAGAAUUUAUUCGAACGUCUGUCAAAGGAGAGGAACUCUGCCGACUGAAACCUUUAUUUUCUAGGUUGACCUCGGAUCAGGUAGGGAUACCCGCUGAACUUAAGCAUAUCAAUAAGCGGAGGA